RNAcentral lists this ribosomal RNA (497 nucleotides) under uncultured bacterium. RNAcentral describes it as "partial 16S ribosomal RNA". It matches the Rfam family "Bacterial small subunit ribosomal RNA", at positions 28 to 507 of the family's 1533-position model. The record is from RNAcentral.
GAUGAACGCUGGCGGCGUGCCUAAUACAUGCAAGUAGAACGCUGAAGGAAGGAGCUUGCUCUUUCCGGAUGAGUUGCGAACGGGUGAGUAACGCGUAGGUAACCUGCCUGGUAGCGGGGGAUAACUAUUGGAAACGAUAGCUAAUACCGCAUAACAGUAGAUGUUGCAUGAUAUCUACUUAAAAGGUGCAAUUGCACCACUACCAGAUGGACCUGCGUUGUAUUAGCUAGUUGGUGAGGUAACGGCUCACCAAGGCGACGAUACAUAGCCGACCUGAGAGGGUGAUCGGCCACACUUGGACUGAGACACGGCCCAGACUCCUACGGGAGGCAGCAGUAGGGAAUCUUCGGCAAUGGACGGAAGUCUGGCCGAGCAACGCCGCGUGAGUGAAGAAGGUUUUCGGAUCGUAAAGCUCUGUUGUAAGAGAAGAACGAGUGUGAGAGUGGAAAGUUCACACUGUGACGGUAUCUUACCAGAAAGGGACGGCUAACUACGUG